GACGAACGCUGGCGGCGUGCUUAACACAUGCAAGUCGAACGGUAAGGCCCUUCGGGGUACACGAGUGGCGAACGGGUGAGUAACACGUGGGUGAUCUGCCCUGCACUUCGGGAUAAGCCUGGGAAACUAGGUCUAAUACCGGAUAGGACCACUGCCUGCAUGGGUGGUGGUGGAAAGCUUUUGCGGUGUGGGAUGGGCCCGCGGCCUAUCAGCUUGUUGGUGGGGUGAUGGCCUACCAAGGCGACGACGGGUAGCCGGCCUGAGAGGGUGACCGGCCAAACUGGGACUGAGAUACGGCCCAGACUCCUACGGGAGGCAGCAGUGGGGAAUAUUGCACAAUGGGCGCAAGCCUGAUGCAGCGACGCCGCGUGAGGGAUGACGGCCUUCGGGUUGUAAACCUCUUUCAGCACCGACGAAGCGCAAGUGACGGUAGGUGCAGAAGAAGGACCGGCCAACUACGUGCCAGCCGCCGCAGUAA
Molecule: ribosomal RNA, 478 nt
Filed under: uncultured bacterium
Lineage: Bacteria
Description: partial 16S ribosomal RNA
Rfam family: Bacterial small subunit ribosomal RNA
Source: RNAcentral